CCCAGAGAGCCUGAGGAUCCUCCUACAGUGCCAUGGGAGCUGAUAUGUCCUGCCUUUCUUUGCAGCCAAGCCUCUUGGUGAAGGUGAUCUGGCUUCCCAACCCACACCCAGGACUGAGGCUCUGGAAGAUGGUGAGGGUGUGUCUGCAGGGAGGACUCUCCCAGCUCCUGGGUUGGUUGCUGCACACAAGCCAGGCUCCCAUCGCAGGGGUCCUCCAAGAGGAAAUACCAAAGCUACAGGAGUUAUGAAACCCCAUGAGCCAUCCAAACCCAUGAGGCAAAUGCUGAAGAAAAUUCUGCAGGAAGGACAAGGUGGGUCCAUGUCCCUCAGCCUUCUCCUGAGACUCAGCAGCUGGGGACUUUCUCUGCACAUCUGGACACGCAGUGCCCAACACAGCGGGAAGGGAUCCAUGG
This is a non-coding RNA of Cyanistes caeruleus (blue tit), 413 nucleotides long. Lineage: Eukaryota; Metazoa; Chordata; Aves; Passeriformes; Paridae. The record is from RefSeq and is a predicted model, not a curated record.